RNAcentral lists this ribosomal RNA (928 nucleotides) under actinobacterium CR167. RNAcentral's name for it is "bacterial SSU rRNA". It matches the Rfam family "Bacterial small subunit ribosomal RNA", at positions 54 to 987 of the family's 1533-position model. Lineage: Bacteria; Bacillati; Actinomycetota; Actinomycetes. The record is from RNAcentral.
CAUGCAGUCGAGCGGUAAGGCCCUUCGGGGUACACGAGCGGCGAACGGGUGAGUAACACGUGAGCAACCUGCCCCUGACUCUGGGAUAAGCGGUGGAAACGCCGUCUAAUACCGGAUACGACCUUCCGCCUCAUGGUGGAGGGUGGAAAGUUUUUUCGGUCAGGGAUGGGCUCGCGGCCUAUCAGCUUGUUGGUGGGGUAACGGCCUACCAAGGCGAUUACGGGUAGCCGGCCUGAGAGGGCGACCGGCCACACUGGGACUGAGACACGGCCCAGACUCCUGCGGGAGGCAGCAGUGGGGAAUAUUGCGCAAUGGGCGAAAGCCUGACGCAGCGACGCCGCGUGGGGGAUGACGGCCUUCGGGUUGUAAACCUCUUUUACCACCAACGCAGGCUCCGGGUUCUCUCGGGGUUGACGGUAGGUGGGGAAUAAGGACCGGCUAACUACGUGCCAGCAGCCGCGGUAAUACGUAGGGUCCGAGCGUUGUCCGGAAUUAUUGGGCGUAAAGAGCUCGUAGGCGGCGUGUCGCGUCUGCUGUGAAAGACCGGGGCUUAACUCCGGUUCUGCAGUGGAUACGGGCAUGCUAGAGGUAGGUAGGGGAGACUGGAAUUCCUGGUGUAGCGGUGAAAUGCGCAGAUAUCAGGAGGAACACCGGUGGCGAAGGCGGGUCUCUGGGCCUUACCUGACGCUGAGGAGCGAAAGCAUGGGGAGCGAACAGGAUUAGAUACCCUGGUAGUCCAUGCCGUAAACGUUGGGCGCUAGGUGUGGGGACUUUCCACGGUUUCCGCGCCGUAGCUAACGCAUUAAGCGCCCCGCCUGGGGAGUACGGCCGCAAGGCUAAAACUCAAGGAAUUGACGGGGGCCCGCACAAGCGGCGGAGCAUGUUGCUUAAUUCGACGCACGCGAAGAACCUUACCAAGGUUUGACAU